GUUAUCAUAGCUUAGUGGUAAAGCAAAGCACUGUUAAUGCUUCUACAGAAGUUCAAUUCUUCUUGAUAACG
RNAcentral lists this transfer RNA (71 nucleotides) under Pneumocystis sp. 'ludovicianus'. Its description in RNAcentral is "tRNA-Asn". It matches the Rfam family "tRNA". Rfam says of the family: Transfer RNA (tRNA) molecules are approximately 80 nucleotides in length. Their secondary structure includes four short double-helical elements and three loops (D, anti-codon, and T loops). Lineage: Eukaryota; Fungi; Ascomycota; Pneumocystomycetes; Pneumocystales; Pneumocystaceae. The record is from RNAcentral.